Molecule: ribosomal RNA, 3132 nt
Filed under: Durio zibethinus
Lineage: Eukaryota; Viridiplantae; Streptophyta; Magnoliopsida; Malvales; Malvaceae
Description: eukaryotic LSU rRNA
Rfam family: Eukaryotic large subunit ribosomal RNA
Source: RNAcentral
AUGUACAUGGAUUCUACCAUUUGUACACAAUAAGCAUAUGAGUGGUGCUAUGGUUUUGUGUGUUGGCAAGUUCUAGGCUCGAUGCAUUGAAUGGUCAACCUAUCAUCCUCUUAAAUUUUCCCUAUAUGGUUAUCGUACCUUAGGGCAUAAUUGAGAUACUAAGCUGCAUAUUGACACUAAAAAGAGAGAGAGCCUUGUUUUGUUUGGACCUUGUCGUACCAUGGGGCACUAUCUGCAUGUUGGGUUGUUUGGGAGUACAACCUUAAUGGGGUGGUAAAUUCUAUCCAAGGCUGAAUAUAGGUGAGAGACCGAUAGCAAACAAGUAUCAUUUAGGAAAGAUGAAAAGGACUUUAAAAAUAGAGUAAAAAAGUGCUUGAAAUUGUUAGGAGGAAAGCGAAAGGAAGCCAGUGAUACACCCUGGUUGGAUGUAAAAUGGCGAGAGCUAGUUCGUUAAUUAGCUUAAGGUAUGGAUUGAUGUAGGUCAUGGUGGUGGCCUAAGCUUGGGCUUUUUAUAUACCUACCAUGAUCAUGGAAUACAGCACACACCAUUUUGACGUUGGCCUAUAGGUUCUUUAUGCGGCUUGCCUUGAAACAUAGACCAAGGAGUCUAACAUGUGUGCAAGUCAAUGGGCUAGAAAACGCAUAAGAUGCAAAGAAGCUAAUUGGCAAGAUCCCUCAUGGGUGCACUAUCAACCAACCUUAAUCUUCUAAACUAUACCUAAGUGAGGCAAAGGAAGAGAAAACUUUAUUGGAGGUUCGUAGUGAUACUAACAUGCAAAUCAUUCAUCUGACUUGGAUAUAGGGGUAAAAGGCUAAUCAAACCAUCUAGUAGUUGGCUCCCUACAAAGUUUCCUUUAAGAUAGCUAGAGCCUUUAGCAAGUUUUAUCAAGUAAACCCAAUGAUUAGAGGUAUUAGAGGCACAACACCCUUGAUCUAUUCUCAAACUUUAAAUAGGUAGAAAGGCAUGACUACUUUUAUGGAGGCACUCUAUAGAAUUAUGAGCCCCCAUAUGCCAUUUUGGUAAGCAAAAUUAGCAAUGUAGGAUGAAGUAGAAGCUAGGUUAUAAUGCCUAACUGCUCGCUAACCUAGAACCCAUAAAGGGUGUUGGUCGAUUAAGAUAGUAAGACAGUGUCAUGAAAGUUGAAAUCCACUAAGGAGUGUGUAACAACUCACCUACCAAAUCACUAUUCUUGAAAAUGGAUGGUGCUUAAGCACAUGACCUAUACUCAAUUGUUGGGACAAGGGCUAGGCCUCAAUGAGUAAGAUGGCAUGGGGGUCAUUACAAAACUUGAGGCACAAGCUCGAGUGAAGUGGCCAUUGGUGUAGAUCUUGGUGGUAGUAGCAAAUAUUCAAAUAAGAAAUUUAAAGGCUGAAAAAGGGAAAUGUUUGAUAUGAAUGGCACUUGCAUAUGGCUUAGUCAAUCAUAAAAAAUAAGGCAAGCCAAUCCAAUAGUGCAUCUAACACAAGCUUCAAAAAGGAAUUAGGUUAAAAUUCCUAAACUAGGGCAUGGUGGCUGAUGGCAACAUUAGAGAGUCUAGAGACAUCAAUGGAGGCCUCAAGAAGAGUUAUCUUUUCUAUUUAAUGGCUUACCCACCCUAGAAAUGACUUAACCAGAGGCAUGGUCUAGCAGUCAAAAGAGCACUACAUGUAGCAUAGUGUAUAGUGUGCGCCAAUAACCUUUGAAAAUCUAGAAGAUCAAUUACCAUCCAUACCCAAUUGUACUCAUAAUCACAUAGGUCUUAAAGGUGAACAACCUCUGGUUGAUGGACCAAUGUAGACAAGGGAAGUCAGCAAAAUAGGUCCAUAACCUUAGGAAAAAGGGUUGGCUCUAACGGCUAGGCACAGGGGUCCCAGUGCUGAACCUAUCAACUAUCAGUGCACUGCUUAAGCUACUCCUGUAAUAAGAGUAGAUCACUAUGUGCGAGCCAAGGGACAGAUUAGGAAUGGCUCCCUCAAGGGCCUUCUUGGGCAACGAACAGUUGACUCAGAAUUGGUACGAACAAGGGGAAUCUAAUUGUUUGAUUAAAAUAAAGCAUUGCAAUGGUCUUUACGGAUGCUUACACAAUGUGAUUUUUGCCUAGUGCUUUGAAUGUCAAAGUGAAGAAAUUCAACUAAGCACAGGCAAAUGGUGGGAGUAACUAUGACUCUCUUAGGGUAGCGAAAUGCUUUGUCAACUAAUUAGUGAUAUGUAUGAAUAGAUUAACGAGAUUCCCAUUGUCCCCAUCGACUAUCCAGUGAAGCCAUAACCAAAGGAAUGGGUUUAACAGAGUCUAACUUUGUGAAAUAAUGUGAGAGGUGUAGAAUAAGUGGGAGCCUUCGAGUGAAAUUUAAAUACAACUACUUUUAAUGUUCUUUUACUUAUUCUGUGAAUUGGAGGUGAAGCAUGACCCUUUCUUUUGGACUCAAGGCUGGUCUUGAUUGAUCGAUACAAGUGGAAAACAUUGUCAGGUAGGGAGUUUUGCUAGGCUAACACAUCUAUUAAAAGAUAACAUAGGUGUCCUAGGAUGAGCUCAACGAGAAUAGAAAUCUCAUGUGGAAUAAAAAGGUAAAAGCUCAUUUGAAUUUGAUUUCCAAUAUGGAUACGAAUGGUGAAAGCAUGGCCUAUCAAUCCUUUAGAGCUUUGAAAUAUAAUGUUAGAGGUGCUAGAAAAGUUACCACAAGGAUAAUUGGCUUGUGGUAGACAAGCAUUUAUAACGACAUUGCUUUUUGAUCCUUUGAUGUUGGCUCUUCCUAUCAUUAUGAAGCAGAAUUCACAAGUGUUGGAUUGGUCACCCAUCAAUAUAGACCAAAAGCUGGGUUUAAACUAUCAUGAGAUAGGUUAGUUUUACCCUACUAAUGGUAGCAUUACAAUAGUAAUUCAACCUAGUAUAAGAGAAAUCAUUGAUUCACACAAUUGGUCAUCGCAUUUGGUUGAAAAGCUAGUGGUGCGAAGCAACCAUGCACCGAAUUAUGAUUGAAAGCCUCCAAGUCAGAAUCAAGGCUAGAAAUGAUGUAUCCACAUAUCACAUGAUUGCCAACCUGUAGUAAGGGCCUAUAGUCCUCAAGAGAACAUGUCAUAGGUGCAACCCUUGUGGUAGACAAGCCAUGCAGGCUUCCUUAGAGCUCAAUUCCCAUCAACCGAUAGGUAGAAUC